This 1319-nucleotide long non-coding RNA is filed under the name Nicotiana tabacum (common tobacco). RNAcentral describes it as "long non-coding RNA (NTAB_LNC001564)". The record is from RNAcentral. Lineage: Eukaryota; Viridiplantae; Streptophyta; Magnoliopsida; Solanales; Solanaceae.
GCCAUUUUUAUAAUGAUAAGCUCUGAGGUUUUAGCUAGGGAGUUGUCUGAGACUUCCACCACUUCAGAAGAGGACUGUAAGAACCCUCUCAUUAUUUUCUCCCUAUUAUUAUCUGUAUAAUUAUUUAACCUUUCAAAUUAGUGGUUAACGUACGUGCAACUUGUAGUAAAGGUAUUAUUUCCUCUAAAGCAAGUACUUAGGUUUCGUUUGGUAAGGUGUAUAAGAAUAGUACUAAAUAUUGUGUAUCAGUAAUGCUGAGAUUAGUUAUGUUAGGAUUAUUUUUUGUGGUUGUUUGAUUUGGUAUAUUAAAGGUUUUGAAAUGACAAUUCUGUCUUUAUACAUGCUUAUCUAUGUAUUAAAGACUAUGGUAUUGCUAAUGCUAUGAUUUUUGUUAUAUAUACGAAUAAUACUGAAUAUGGUGUAUAACUAAUAUAAAUAUAAGUUAAAAAACACUACAGAGCAAGAAAUUAACAGUACUAAAGUUAAUACAUGUAUUAUUUUUCCUAAUACACCCUAUCAAACGACCCCUUAGAGUUACACGUCUGGUGUUCCUAAUGCUAGCUUGAUCAUGAAUCUUAGCAAGUUUUAUAGUAUUUCAUUUGACCUUAACAUAGCAAAUAUUAUAAAUGUGCUUGUAUCACGAAAAAUUACAUAUAAGUAAAGGAUUUAACAGUAUAAAAGAAUCUUAUGUGAUCUGAUCUGCAUUCGACCUAAUACUACAAAACAAUUUCACCAUCGACGUGUAGAAAUUAAACUUGUAAGAUUAUGGAUUACGGCAAAAUUGUGUUAAUUUUCUAGUUUAGAGUUGAAAGAGAAGGUGAAGUUGUCCCUUUGACCUAUAAAUCACGGGUUCGAACCGUAAAAGCAGCCGCGAAUACUUGCACUAGGAUAGGCUGUCUACGUCACAUCCUUGGGGUGCGACCCUUCUCCGGAUUCUGCGUGAAUGUCGAUGCCUUAUACACCGGGCUGUCCUUUGCUAGUUUAGAGUUAGUACAAGAAUAAAACAGCUAAUAAAAAUAACAUACCUUUUUUCACACAAUUGAUGCAGCAAAGAAAUCCGAUAACAAGAAUGAAGUGCAUGAAGCUCAAUAUGGUGGCGGAUACCCCGGUGGUGGCUACCCUGGCGGUGGAUACCCUGGCGGCGGAUACCCUGGUGGCGGCCGUGGUGGCGGUGGAUACCCUGGUGGCGGCCGUGGUGGAUACCCAGGUGGCGGCCGCGGUGGUGGACGUGGAGGAUACUGCCGCUAUGGUUGUUGCGGCCGCCGCAAUUACUACGGCUGCAGCAGGUGUUGCUACUACAAAGGUGAGGCCAUGGAUAA